CAGUCCACAUACUAUGGAGUCAUCGCCAUCGGUACACCCCCUCAGUUGUUCAAGGUUCUCUUUGACACAGGCUCUGCUGACCUGUGGGUGCCCUCUACACUGCAGCAGCAGCCAGGCUUGCAGAAACUUGCAGCCCACCUCAGAGACUUUCUCCAUCCAAUAUGUCACUGGUUAAAUGACAGGGGAUGUGGGAUAUGACACCAUAAUAAUCAGUGACACCAUAUCUUUGGCCGGAGUCUGGUGGGGGACACUCAUGCAGACAUUACCAUGGGAUGGGAUUAUGGGUCUGGCCUUCCCCAAGCAGCUGUCAAUUAAGGGAGGCACUCCUGUAUUUGGCAACAUUUGGAAACAUGGCAAGAUCCCCCAAGACCUGUUCUCCAUCUAACUGACCAAGUGAGAUUUCACUGGAGGACAGGGUUGUAGAUGGCAGUUUGUUAAUCCUGGGAGGAACCGAGCCCUCCUACUUCAAAGGAAGCAUCCAAUGGAUUCCCAUCUCUCAACCUACUGGCUACUGGCAGUAUAAAGUAGACAGGUAAUAUUGUGGACGGCUAAUGAAUUAGUUUAUGUGUAACAGAAUAAAAGAUUAUCAUUGUCCCACAGAAGACACCAACCAAGUUCAAACUCAUGAGCAGUCAUUGGUGUUAUGUGUACUUUUGUUGUUGAUGACUCUAUAGAAUAGUGAUGUUAUUUGUCUUAAGGUGGCAGGUAGCUUAGUGGUUAGAGCGUUAGGCCAGUAACUGAAAGGUUGGUGGAUCGAAUCCCAAAGCUGACAAAAUAACAAUCUGUCGUUCUGUCCCUGCACAAAGCAAUUAACCCAGUGUUCCUAGGCUGUC
RNAcentral lists this long non-coding RNA (833 nucleotides) under Salmo salar (Atlantic salmon). RNAcentral's name for it is "lncRNA (ENSSSAG00000114997.1)". Lineage: Eukaryota; Metazoa; Chordata; Actinopteri; Salmoniformes; Salmonidae. The record is from RNAcentral.